This 8004-nucleotide long non-coding RNA is filed under the name Ananas comosus (pineapple). Its description in RNAcentral is "long non-coding RNA (ACOM_LNC022237)". Lineage: Eukaryota; Viridiplantae; Streptophyta; Magnoliopsida; Poales; Bromeliaceae. The record is from RNAcentral.
CAUGCCUCCUUAAUUAAAAUUUCCUCCCUCUCUGUCUCUGGAGCCAUACGCGAGGAGGAGGAGCUUGGGUGGAGCGUUCGUCGCCGACGUCGCAUCGCCAAGCCGUUUGAGCGCACGUUUGUCGCCAUAGCGUCGCGUGGAGGCCGGGCGAGGGUGCGUUUUCGCCAUCCUCGACGUCGCACCGGCGCUGGAUUCGCUGUCGAUGUGGGUACCUAACUUUCCUCCUUGGAUUACUUGAACGCACGAUUUUGAGCUCGCGUGCUGAUUUUACUGAUUUUCAGCGUCGGCCAUCAGUGUUUCGGCUCGUACUCGGCGUAGGAAAGUCGGAUUUCGACGGGACUUGGUUCGUUGGAUUCAGGACUUCGAGAGGAAUCCACGAAGCCCUUAUUUGCUGGAUUUAGUGAAGGUUUGCUAGGUCGUAUCCCUAUUUCUUUCUGCUGCUGCUGUUUUGGGCAGAAUUGAUGCUUAAUAUGGGUUUCUAUGUUUAGACCCGUGGAGCGUGUUGUCGCUGGUUCGGGGAGCUGCGCCGAGCUUGACAGGGACUCCGGUGACCUUCUUCACCGUCGGGGAUUUGCGAUUAAGGUGGGUUAAUCAUCGGUUUACUCCUAAGUGCCUAUAUAGUCGACAUGUAAUUGUGGAAUUAUCUUGUGUGGCGCAAUUGCUCGGUUCAUUGAUUUAGUAUGGUUAAUAAUCUGAAUUGGAGCUGAGUUAUUAUCUUUGGAUAUAUAUAUACAUGUUGGACUUGGAUAAGACUUAGGAGAAAACUCGCGAUUAUGAUCGUCAUAUAUUUAAACUACCUGAUUUAGCCCUAGGGGCCGUUGUAUUAUUUUAUACUGUAGCAGUAUCCUCAUAGUGAGUAUUCCAGAUAGUUUAGCUUUCAGUUACGCUCGUGCCGGGAUGCCGAGUAUAUUUUUACAGUAGCGUUCAGGCUGUUCCGGACUGUUGGGUGCCGUCGGGGUUGACGGUGGACCCGUAUCGCCUUUUUGGCGUCGGAUUGUGCCGAGGGCACGUUACCUGUUGGUUGUUAGACCAGUUUGAGUCGGUUACUGGACUUUGGCUUUUGAGAGCCUGAUUGAGCUCGACAGAGAUACGCUGCAUACUCGGUUGGGUAGCUCCCACGAGUGCCACUCCGGAGACGGGCGCUGUGCUUUCGCGUUCGUGUCGCUCAUGCCGGUUGGACUUGCUCUCCACGGACUAGUAGUGUGGAGGUAGCUGGAUAGUCACAACUGAGCAGGGACGGGUGUGUUCACAGUCCCAGGGACGGGUAUGCUUACAGUCCCGAUUGGAUUGGGUCAAAUUUGACAUUUCCUACAGUUGGUUAAUGUAGAGCAUGAUAGUGUAGUGAUUCAUAGCAGUAGAUUUUAUUCCUGUAUUGACUACUAUCCUGGCUCCCUUCUGUAGACUUAGUGGGUAGACCGAUGUGGUUUAGGGCGGCACCCACUAAGGACUACCUGUUUUUAUAGUAGUUCUCACGCCCUGUUGUUACACAUUAUUUUUGCAGAGCCAUCGUCGUCGGCUGCUGCUAUCGCAGAUCAGGAUCGAGGCAAGGGCGUCACGAGUUAGAGCACUACCCGACAUGCCAAGCUAGAGGUACCCUACUGCUGGUAGAUAUUUUAUUUUGAGUUCAUGUACAUAGUAUACUUAACUCGCCAGUGCGAGUAGCUCUGUAUUUUGAUUUUUGGACUAUGUAUAUGGAUCUCCGUUUAUUUAGCUUCUGUUUACUCUAGCAGCUCUAUACUACUGUUUGUAGUAUUGUUUGGUUUACAGAUACAGCUGUCGCUUCGUAUACAGGAAAAAUUCCUUUGCAUACGGCGGAUUUGUCGGCGUGCCCGUGGAACGUGUAAUCCGGGGCGUGACAGAUUAAGUUGGUAUCAAAGCUUAGCUGUAGGUCGUUGGGACCUAGAAAACCUAAGUUUGGCAAACCUUAGGAAGGCAAGACGCGAGAGGCGUAAUUUAUUGCGAAAGUCAAUGAUUAAUUGUUCUAACUCCUCCUAGAGUGGAGUGAGUGAUUGAAGGAGUUCCUGUUUUGGCUUGAGAAAUUAUGUUAGCUGCAGACGACAUAAUUUUGGAGGGAAACAGGGGGCCGCCUUCUAGACUUUCUUUUGAUUGGGUUGAGAGUGUUUGUAUUGUAUCUGACCUCUAUCUGUUUCUUGCAGCUAUGUAUCGUCGCCGAGGUCGACCGUCAUUAUGAGAGCGUGCGCAGUUGGCGCAGGAUCGUGCUAGAUCUUCCGAGAUGCCUGAGCAGAUGGAGCAGGGUACUCGGCAGGAGCAGGGUGACAGGCCGGAGGCGAGUGCACCCCCUGUUGUGGAGCCGAGUGCGCGACCUGAGGCUAGCGCACCCCCUGAUCUGAGUGCACAGUUAGCUGCCCUGACUGAGGUGACGAGGCAGCAGGGGGAGUUGUUGCAGAGGUUGUGUGAGAGGGUGGCUCAGACACCGAGUGCUGCACCGAGAGUACCAGAGCAGACUGUUCCGCCACCGACUACUCCAGUGUCAGCUCCAGCCACAGCUAUGCCCCCACCAGUGGAACUUCCUGCAGUGCCAACUGCGCCUGCUAGGGGGCCCGUACAGUUGACUGAUGCCGAGCAGGAGCGGUGGACGAAGAGGUUGGCUCGUUUUCGCCGUUUUGAUCCACCGAUUUACGAUAGCAGAUGUACUGAGGCCUGGGUUGUUGAGGGAUGGGUCAGUGCGAUGGAGAAGCUAUUUGAGGAUCUGUUCAUUCCGGAGGGGGAGUAGGUACCUCUGGGAGUACACUGUUUGGCAGGUGAUGCUCAUGACUGGUGGCGGAGAGCAAGGCGAGACCAGGGGCUGGUGGCGGCGCAGCUGAGGUGGGAUGAGUUCUGUGGAAUGCUGUUUGGGAUGUUCUUUCCCAACAGUGUGAAGCAGAAGCUCGAGGAGGAUUUGAGGAGGCUUCAGCAGGGAGAUCGCCCAGUGCAGGAGUAUGUUCGGGAGUUUACUCGACUCCUGAACUGUGUACCAUUUGCGGCCAGAGACGAAGCGCACAUGGUGUAUAUGUUCGAGCAGGGGCUGAGACUGGAUAUCUUUAGGUUGACUCGGACGCAGAGGUCGAGGACUCUGGAUGCGUCUAUAGAGCAGGCCUUGUGGGUGGAGCGAGGUAAGACAUCGCUACAGGAGAGGACUCAGGCCGUGGGGCAGAGUCAGGAUAGGAAGCGCCCUUUUUCAGAUGACGGAGGACAGUCGAGCAGCAAACGUCCGCCGAGGCCUCCACGAUCACGUUCUCAAGGUCGUGGGUCUUCGGGGCGUCAGCGUUCCAAGGGAUCCCGUCAGCAGGGGCAGACUCAAAGUACGCCACAGUGUGUGAUCUACGGGGGACCACACUGGCCCCGACAGUGCGAGCAGAGAGAGGGCAAGUGCUACGGAUGUGGUCAGCCGAGACACGUGAGGGCAGCUUGUCCCCGAGCAGCGUCUCCAGCACCAUCAUCAGCUUAAGCACCACCAGCACCACAGCAGUCUUACGGCGCAGCACCAAGUUACCGCCAGGAGGACAGAUCGUCUGUGCCGCGGUCGAGUGAGCGGCGACAACAGGCUCCGAGUGGUAGGGUCUACGCAGCUCAGGUGGAGGACUCUACAGCAGCCGACCGAGUGGUGGCAGGUAUCACUUUGAUUUCUGGCAUUAGAGUUCGCACUCUUUUUUAUACCGGUGCAUCGCAUUCCUUUGUUAACCGAACAUUUACACAGUUGCAUGGUCUAGAGUUAGGAGCGUUGUCUCAGGCACGAGAGGUGCAGAUCCCAGACCAUGUUUUGCAGGUGAUGGAGUGUUGUUGGUCAUGUCCGGUGCAGUUAGACUCGUGGAUUAUGCCCGCAGACCUGUUGGUGUUAGGGCAGCUACAGGACUUCGACGUCGUGCUCGGUAUGGAUUGGCUGGCGCGGUACUAUGCUACGAUCGACUGUGGAGCGAGGACGGUGACGUUUCGCGAGCCAGGCCAGGAGGAGUUCACUUUCAGAGGCUGUAGGAGCACGCUGUUUGCUACUUAGAUAUCUUCGGCGAGGGCUCGACAGAUGCUGAGUAGUGGGUGUAUCGCUUUCCUAGCGACUGUUGUGGAGGUACCUACGGUGGCGCCGGGACUUGAGGACAUCCCAGUAGUCCGCGAGUUUCCGGAUGUGUUUUACCCUCAGUUGACGACGUUGCCGCCGAAGAGGGAGGUUGAGUUUGUGAUUGAUGUAGUUUCUGGAACUGCACCAAUCUCAAAGGUACCUUAUCGGAUGGCGCCGGCAGAGCUGAGAGAGCUAAAGGCACAGCUUCAGGAUCUGAUGGAUAGAGGGUUUGUGAGACCCAGUGUGUCGCCUUGGGGAGCGCCGGUGUUAUUUGUAAAGAAGAAUGAUGGUUCGCUCAGGUUAUGUGUGGAUUACCGGGAGCUGAAUAAAGUGACCAUCAAGAAUAAGUAUCCCUUGCCGCGUAUUGAUGAUUUGUUUGAUCAGCUGCAAGGAUCUUAUGUCUUCUCAAAGAUUGAUCUCCAGUCGGGUUACCACUAGUUGAGGGUGAGGGCUGAGAAUGUUCCCAAGACGGCUUUCCGGACUCAGUACGGACAUUGUGAGUUCACGGUGAUGCCUUUUGGAUUGACGAAUGCCCCUGCCGCAUUCAUGAAUUUGAUGAACCGAGUGUUCAAGCCGUUCUUGGACAGGUUUGUGGUAGUCUUCAUUGAUGACAUAUUGAUAUACUCCCGGAGCGAUGCUGAGCAUGAGGAGCACUUGAGGACUGUGCUACAGCUUCUGCGAGAGAAGAAGUUGUAUGCCAAGUUAAAGAAGUGCGAGUUCUGGUUACGGGAGGUCACUUUCUUGGGCCACGUGAUAUCAGCAGAGGGAGUAGCAGUUGACCCGAAGAAGAUUGAUGCGAUUCGGGGUUGGCCUAGACCGACGACGGUGACAGAGGUGCGGAGUUUUCUUUGAUUAGCAGGAUAUUACCGUCGGUUUGUGGAAGGCUUUGCGAAGCUUUCCACACCUCUCACUCGAUUGACGCGCAAGGGGAUUAGAUUCACCUGGAGUGAGGAUUGUCAGAGGAGCUUUGAUAAGUUGAGACAGAGGUUGACGUCAGCUCCUAUCCUUGCCCUUCCUGUGAUGGGGGAAGGAUUUGUAAUCUACAGUGAUGCGUCGCACAGUGGACUCGGUUGUGUGUUGAUGCAGCAUGGUAGGAUAAUUGCUUAUGCUUCACGGCAAUUAAAGGAUUAUGAGAAGAAUUACCCUACGCAUGACUUGGAGCUUGCCGCGGUGGUUUUUGCUCUGAAGCUCUGGCGGCAUUACUUGUAUGGCGAGCACUGCGAGGUCUUCACCGAUCAUAAAAGUCUCAAGUAUCUGUUCACACAGAGAGAGCUGAACCUGAGGCAGCGCCGGUGGUUGGAGUUACUGAAGGACUAUGACAUUAGUAUUCAGUAUCAUCCCGGCAGGGCGAAUGUUGUCGCAGAUGCGUUGAGCAGGAAGUCAGUGCAGAGCCUGAGUUUGAGAAUCACUGAGCAGAGACCCCUUCUCGAGGAGCUGCAGCGGCUGGGACUCGAGAUAGUACCCCCUGGGUCUACGGCGAGGCUGACGUCUCUAGUUUUACAGCCCACUCUGUUGGAUAGGAUCCGAGAGAAACAGAGUGGAGAUCCGUACUUGAUGAGGAUUAGAGAGCAGCUAAACAGGGGGCAGGGUGAGGGUUUUGGUUUAGACAGUUCGGGAGUACUACGGUACAGGGACCGACUGUGUGUGCCUGUGGAUUCUGAGAUUCGAGCAGACAUUCUGAGAGAGGCUCAUUGUUCUCCUUAUACGGUUCACCCUGGGAGAAUCAAGAUGUAUAAGGAUCUUAAGGCACGGUUCUGGUGGCCUGGAAUGAAGAGGAACAUUGGCAGAUUUGUGGUUCAGUGUUUGACUUGCCAACAGGUGAAGGCCGAGCAUCAGGUGCCUGCUGGCAAGCUUCAGAGUCUGCCAGUGCCCGAGUGGAAGUACGAGUACAUCACGAUGGACUUCGUCGUUGGAUUGCCUAGAGGGCAAGGAGGCUACGACGCGAUUUGGGUGAUAGUGGACAGACUGACCAAGUCUGCUCACUUCCUACCGGUUCAGACUACCUGGUCCAGAGAGAGAUUCGCGCAGCUAUACCUGGAUGAGAUUGUCUGGCUACACGGCGUGCCGGUAUUGAUUGUGUCAGACAAAGACCCGAGAUUUGUAUCUCAGUUUUGGAGGAGUCUACAGACAGCCUUGGGCACUCCGCUGCAUUUCAGCACGGCGUUCCACCCACAGACAGAUGGUCAGUCAGAGAGAACCAUACAAACUCUAGAGGACAUCCUGAGAGCAUGCGUCCUGGAUUUUGGAGGAGGGUGGUAUCGGCAUUUGAGACUGACUGAGUUUGCGUACAACAACAGCUAUCAAACGAGCAUCCAGAUGGCUCCGUUUGAGGUGUUGUAUGGACGGAGAUGUCGAUCCUCUUUGUUCUGGAGCGAUGUGGCUGAGAGGACUUUAGGACCUGAGAUUUUGCUAGAGGCUGAGGAAAAGGUGAGAGUUGUUCGACGACACCUUUUGACAGCCUAGAGCAGCCAGAGGAGCUACGCCGAUAUCAGGAGACGAGACUUAGAGUUUCAGAUUGGAGAUCAUGUUUUCCUCAAAGUCUCGCCGUCCAGAGGGAUACGUCGAUUUGGGGUACGUGGAAAGCUCAGUCCACGAUUCGUUGGCCCUUUCGAGGUAUUGGAACGAGUUGGACCAGUUGCUUACAGGAUAGCUCUACCCCCGCGACUUGCUGGCAUCCACAAUGUUUUCCACGUCUCAACUUUGAGGAGAUACGUUUUCGAUCCCUCUCACGUGAUCGACUUCACUCCACUCGAGAUUGGCGAGGAUCUAAGAUACGAGGAGCGACCGUUGCGGAUUCUUGCUCGAGAGACAAAAGAAUUGCGCAACCGGAUCAUUCCGUAUGUGAAAGUGUAGUGGAGCAAUCACGAGGAGCGGGAGGCGACUUGGAAGCCUGAGACAGUGAUGAGGGAGUCUUACCCAGACUUGUUUGAUUCUUCAAGUUGAGGUAUGUGCUAAGUUUCGAGGACGAAACUUUUUGUAGUGGGGGAGAAUGUAGUAUCCUUAUAUAUAUAUAUAUAUAUAUAUAUAUAUAUAUAUAUAUAUAUAUAUAUAUAUAUAUAUAUAUAUAUAUAUAUAUAUAUAUAUAUAUAUAUAUAUAUAUAUAAUGCCACGUGCCCCCAUGCAUGUAUUUCAUGCUUAUCUAAUUAGGGGGUUGUACAUGCCUCCUUAAUUAAAAUUUCCUCCCUCUCUGUCUCUGGAGCCAUACGCGAGGAGGAGGAGCUUGGGUGGAGCGUUCGUCGCCGACGUCGCAUCGCCAAGCCGUUUGAGCGCACGUUUGUCGCCGUAGCGUCGCGUGGAGGCCGGGCAAGGGUGCGUUUUCGCCGUCCUCGACGUCGCACCGGCGCUGGAUUCGCUGUCGAUGUGGGUACCUAACUUUCCUCCUUGGAUUACUUGAAUGCAUGAUUUUGAGCUCGCGUGCUGAUUUUAUUGAUUUUCAGCGUCGACCGUCAGUGUUUCGGCUCGUACUCUGCGUAGGAACGUCGGAUUUCGACGGGACUUGGUUCGUUGGAUUCAGGACGUCGAGAGGAAUCCACGAAGCCCUUAUUUGCUGGAUUGUGCCGAGGUAGUUCCAGCAGUAUAGUGAUUCAAUCAAGCUAAAAAGCCUGAUUGAGCUCGACAGAGAUACGCUGCAUACUCGGUUGGGUAGCUCCCACGAGUGCCACUCCGAAGAUGGGCGCUGUGCUUUCGCGUUGGUGUCGCUCAUGCCGGUUGGACUUGCUCUCCACGGACUAGUAGUGUGGAGGUAGCUGGAUAGUCACAACUAAGCAGGGACGGGUGUGUUCACAGUCCCAGGGACGGGUAUGCUUACAGUCCCGAUUGGAUUGGGUCAGAUUUGACAUUUCCUACAGUUGGUUAGUGUAGAGCAUGAUAGUGUAGUGAUUCAUAGCGGUAGAUUUCAUUCCUGUAUUUACUACUAUCCUGGCUCCCUUCUAUAGAUUUAGUGGAUGGAC